RNAcentral lists this ribosomal RNA (434 nucleotides) under uncultured Clostridium sp. RNAcentral's name for it is "partial 16S ribosomal RNA". It matches the Rfam family "Bacterial small subunit ribosomal RNA", at positions 341 to 792 of the family's 1533-position model. The record is from RNAcentral. Lineage: Bacteria; Bacillati; Bacillota; Clostridia; Eubacteriales; Clostridiaceae.
ACGGAAGGCAGCAGUGGGGAAUAUUGGACAAUGGGGGCAACCCUGAUCCAGCGACGCCGCGUGAGUGAAGAAGUAUUUCGGUAUGUAAAGCUCUAUCAGCAGGGAAGAUGAUGACGGUACCUGACUAAGAAGCCCCGGCUAACUACGUGCCAGCAGCCGCGGUAAUACGUAGGGGGCAAGCGUUAUCCGGAUUUACUGGGUGUAAAGGGAGCGUAGGCGGUCAGACAAGUCAGAUGUGAAAGCCCGGGGCUCAACUCCGGGACUGCAUUUGAAACUGUAGGACUAGAGUACUGGAGAGGCAAGCGGAAUUCCUAGUGUAGCGGUGAAAUGCGUAGAUAUUAGGAAGAACACCGGUGGCGAAGGCGGCUUGCUGGACAGAGACUGACGCUGAGGCUCGAAAGCGUGGGGAGCAAACAGGAUUAGAUACCCUGGUA